RNAcentral lists this long non-coding RNA (304 nucleotides) under Mytilus galloprovincialis (Mediterranean mussel). The record is from RNAcentral. Lineage: Eukaryota; Metazoa; Mollusca; Bivalvia; Mytilida; Mytilidae.
GCGCAUUUCGACAAUACAUGUCUCUUCAGUGAUGCUCGUGGCCAAAAUAUUUGAAAUUCAAAGCUUAUAUAAAAGAUGAAGAGCUAUAAUCCAAAAGGUCCAAAAAGUAUAGCCAAAUCCGUGAAAGGAAUCAGAGCUUUGCAUGAGGGAGAUACAUUCCUUAAUUUAUAAUAAUUUAUAAUAUUUUGUAACAGCAAAUUUUAAUAACACAAAAAAAUCCGUAUUUUCAUGCCAGUACCGAAGUACUGGCUACUGGGCUGGUGAUACCCUCGGGGACUAAUAGUCCACCAGCAGAGGCAUCGAC